This 1211-nucleotide ribosomal RNA is filed under the name Aggregatibacter actinomycetemcomitans. RNAcentral describes it as "bacterial SSU rRNA". It matches the Rfam family "Bacterial small subunit ribosomal RNA", at positions 88 to 1298 of the family's 1533-position model. The record is from RNAcentral. Lineage: Bacteria; Pseudomonadati; Pseudomonadota; Gammaproteobacteria; Pasteurellales; Pasteurellaceae.
CUGACGAGUGGCGGACGGGUGAGUAAUGCUUGGGAAUCUGUCUUAUGGAGGGGGAUAACGACGGGAAACUGUCGCUAAUACCGCGUAGAAUCGGGAGAUGAAAGUGUGGGACCUUCGGGCCACAUGCCAUAGGAUGAGCCCAAGUGUGAUUAGGUAGUUGGUGGGGUAAAGGCCUACCAAGCCGACGAUCGCUAGCUGGUCUGAGAGGAUGGCCAGCCACACCGGGACUGAGACACGGCCCGGACUCCUACGGGAGGCAGCAGUGGGGAAUAUUGCGCAAUGGGGGCAACCCUGACGCAGCCAUGCCGCGUGAAUGAAGAAGGCCUUCGGGUUGUAAAGUUCUUUCGGUGAUGAGGAAGGUUGGUGUGUUAAUAGCAUGCCAAAUUGACGUUAAAUACAGAAGAAGCACCGGCUAACUCCGUGCCAGCAGCCGCGGUAAUACGGGGGGUGCGAGCGUUAAUCGGAAUAACUGGGCGUAAAGGGCACGUAGGCGGACCUUUAAGUGAGGUGUGAAAUCCCCGGGCUUAACCUGGGAAUUGCAUUUCAUACUGGGGGUCUGGAGUACUUUAGGGAGGGGUAGAAUUCCACGUGUAGCGGUGAAAUGCGUAGAGAUGUGGAGGAAUACCGAAGGCGAAGGCAGCCCCUUGGGGAUGUACUGACGCUGAUGUGCGAAAGCGUGGGGAGCAAACAGGAUUAGAUACCCUGGUAGUCCACGCUGUAAACGGUGUCGAUUUGGGGAUUGGGGUUUAGCCCUGGUGCCCGAAGCUAACGUGAUAAAUCGACCGCCUGGGGAGUACGGCCGCAAGGUUAAAACUCAAAUGAAUUGACGGGGGCCCGCACAAGCGGUGGAGCAUGUGGUUUAAUUCGAUGCAACGCGAAGAACCUUACCUACUCUUGACAUCCGAAGAAGAACUCAGAGAUGGGUUUGUGCCUUAGGGAGCUUUGAGACAGGUGCUGCAUGGCUGUCGUCAGCUCGUGUUGUGAAAUGUUGGGUUAAGUCCCGCAACGAGCGCAACCCUUAUCCUUUGUUGCCAGCGACUUGGUCGGGAACUCAAAGGAGACUGCCGGUGAUAAACCGGAGGAAGGUGGGGAUGACGUCAAGUCAUCAUGGCCCUUACGAGUAGGGCUACACACGUGCUACAAUGGCGUAUACAGAGGGUAACCAACCAGCGAUGGGGAGUGAAUCUCAGAAAGUACGUCUAAGUCCGGAU